Phyllostomus discolor (pale spear-nosed bat) is the source of this 154-nucleotide long non-coding RNA. RefSeq lists it as uncharacterized. Lineage: Eukaryota; Metazoa; Chordata; Mammalia; Chiroptera; Phyllostomidae. The record is from RefSeq and is a predicted model, not a curated record. The transcript has 3 exons.
CUUGGACAUAAAAAAAAAGCAAAUUUUACCCUUAGCAACAGUGUGGAUGGAUCUGGAGAACAUUUUGCUAAGUGAAAUAAGCCAGUCAGAGAAAGACAGAUACCAUAUAAUUUCACUUAUAUGUGGAAUCUAAUGAACAAACUGAACUAACAAG